GCCCCGAGUGCCCGCCUCGCUCCGCGGCCGCGAUGCCGCCGUCUGGGAUCAACGCCACGCAAUCCUAGGAGCAGAGGUAAAGACUAAGCGUGCCUUUUGCAAUCAAUUUGGCGGAAUUGGUUUGGUUUACCAGAAGUUGCAUGGAUGUGGAUGCAGUCUCACCUUUUGUUAGUUCUACAUAAGAUGUUUGUUUGUCAUGGCAAAAAACAAAAUGUAGACGGCAAUAGUAUCUUAUCUGAUGCAUACAACAAAUGUAGAUGGUAUUUUUCCUGCUUUUUUCUCUGAUUAGGAGUACAGUGUAAUGUCAUAACUAGGAUUUUGUUUGAGUUGGGCUAUUUUAUAUGUUCUGUUCUCAGGUGUACGUCUUUUUAUGAUAUGAUAUCUGCAGCUUCCAUACAUGUUGCUAUGAACUAGACACAGAUGAGGGCUCCAACACUACUGUACAAUCAUAUGAUAUCUGCAAUUUUUAGCUGCUGCGGGAUUUAUCCCCACAAUUGUGGCUGGGAAGACAACGAGUUUAUUUGAUUGAUUUUACAAGGAAAGAAUAAUGUAAAUCUCUUUAUCCAUCAGUAGUGCCAGCAGCUCACUAUAUUAGUGUACCCAAAAUCCCAAAUCUAAUUUCCCAGAUUCCACUAGAUGGAUGGCAACGCUUUGGUCCAUGUUAUGAGAGAAAUUGUUCAGGUCUGUGUAAUGUUACUGACAAGCACUGCAUGGACUGGAUGUAAAGUAUACUCCACUACAUGCUGAUGGCAAGAUGGACCUUUUUUUUCUUUUGAAAAGGAAGCUGGAGCACUGCUCAUUCAUUUAAGGAGGAAGCAAGCAUAGUUUUGCAGAUUUUCAUUACAUGGGAAGCUAAAAGAGCUCCAACCUGAUGAUUUGGAUGUGGAUUCAUUACCAUAGUUUUGGAAGCUGUUACUUUAUACUCCAGUGGGAGCUCAUAGUAUAAGUUUAUAGGAAAUGAAGUUUCUGUUCAGAUACAAAAAGUAGUGAACAGGACUUCCCUCUAAAAUGAACGGAACAUCCCAUCUUUCAUCUUUGUUGGGUUCAUUGUUUUCUCUUGUUAUCAAGACUCUCUUUACUGGCUUGCUUUACAGUUUUCUAAAUACUUUUGUAGCUACCAGAGACAGAAUCAUUUUAUUUGAUGUGUCUUAAGAACCAAAAGUUUUGCUCUCGAUCCACCAUAAUUCCGAAGUCUUACUCCUUUGGCUUAAAAAAAAUACUUUGAACUUUUAUUAUGAGAUGUGGAGCCAUCAGUUGCUGAAAUAAUUGAUAAACCACAGCGAUUAAUUUAUGUGACAGCCUCCGCUUCUGAUGUAAGUGAACAAGCAAUGAGAACAGCAGAACUCAAUGGAGGGACAAACUACUUUCCUCAAAUAGCUGCUUUAAUCCACAAGUUCAUUUUGUCUACCAAUUUGUUUCUCAUUUCCAUACACAUGAAAAUUAUGUUGGGACUUGGGUAACCAGAAAGAAAAAAUCGUUUGUGUAGAUUUCUCAAUUCAGACAAAACAAAACUGAACUUAGUUGGAUGCUCUCGUGCCAGUACAGUUGUUUAUAUAGACACUUCUGUAUAUCUGAUGCCAAUCUCAUUUCCAGAUAACAUGAAGCUAUAACAUUUUGGGUGCAUUGUUCUUGCCCUCCUGUCUUCAACCUGCCAUCGAGAUAGCAGUGACUUAUCCAGACGGAAGCAACUUCAUUGGCUGAGAUCAACAUGUGGACACGCUCUACAGAACCACCUCUGUGGUUCAGUUUACAGCCGAUUGCCUCGAGACCCAAGAGACCACCGAGUUUGUCAUAUAUUGGAGACUCCAAGCUGAGAGAUCACAGGGAUAGUGAUGGAAGGUGAUUGCUGAUACAAAUCUCAAGAGUAAAAGCGCAGAGUGCUAAUAUUUUUGCUGCUGGUUCCUGUAAGUUCACCCUGGAUCUCCGUUUCCUAACUUCAACCAAGCUCAUAAAUGAUUUCCAUUUGACAAAUGCUAGUUUGUUGUCUGCAAUUUUGCAUUAGUCAAUACAAUAUUGGCUUGCUUAUAGUUUGCAUUAGCCGAAUAGCUUGGUUAGCCUAGCGCUGCUUGAUUGUAUAUGCUGCACCCAAUCGCCCACCUUUUGUAGAGGUGCUGAUUCCUGGGGCCUUGCAGGAGUUGGAGGAAGAUACCUUGCACAGAGCUCUACGAUGAUCUCCACCAUGCACAUACAUCAUUUGACGGAUGGGGCUACUGGG
RNAcentral lists this long non-coding RNA (2215 nucleotides) under Setaria italica (foxtail millet). RNAcentral describes it as "long non-coding RNA (SITA_LNC004110)". The record is from RNAcentral. Lineage: Eukaryota; Viridiplantae; Streptophyta; Magnoliopsida; Poales; Poaceae.